Molecule: long non-coding RNA, 3280 nt
Organism: Mus musculus (house mouse)
Lineage: Eukaryota; Metazoa; Chordata; Mammalia; Rodentia; Muridae
Product: predicted gene, 54121
Exons: 2
Source: RefSeq, a predicted model, not a curated record
UCUACCCAUUUCAGGCAUAAAAUGUACUGUAACCCUUGUCAGCCGGUGUGUCCUGUUAGUUGUCUGGGAUGAAGUUUAACCUGGAGUUCCAAAUGACACACUCUCCCAUCUGAAUUGAAUGGAAAGAUCUCCCUUUUUUAGGCAGAUGCUACACACCAAGCUUCAGAUGUUUAGAACUGCAGAAGGAUUCUAUCCAGGGGUGGGGGUUGUACCACUUUGAAAGGUCCCAGUUGCUGCCUGCUCUUGCUCUAUGCGUGUGACACAUCUGUUGAGCAUUUUCUGGCUGUGCGUCCUUCUGUAACCUGCAUGCUUACUGACAGUAUUUUUCACUGUCUUUCCAGAGGUUGUGGGUGCUUUUGUUUUGUAGCAUAUGCUAGGAGUAUGAAGACUAGGGGCGAGGUGGGGGGAGCACACCUGUGUCCAAGCCCCCCAACCCAGAGAAAAGAACACAGACCAACCCUCAGGGACCUUGUUCCUGUCCAGCCUCAAGUGGACCUCCCUGUUGGUUUUCAUCCUACAGAGUCUGUAUUAGGCAGUGUGGGAAGAAACAAGAAAUAGGAAAGAGAAGUUUAUUUGGUGUACCUUUAAGUGACAUAAUUCGAAGAUCACAUGAAAGGCAUUCUCUCCAGAGUCAAGGGGAAAUGCUUUCUUUGUAACCUCACAGGAGAGCUGAAUUGUUACUUUGGAAAUAGGCUUCUCCUAACAAAUUCCCACAGCCACACUACACCCAGCCCAACACUGGGCCCUGGCCACUUGGAUAAAUGGAAGAGGGAGCCUGGUCAGUUUGCUGGGAAUGAACCUUCCAUUGUCCUCACCCUCCAAGACCAGCCCAGAGCCAUUUGGAGAUAGUUUGUGUAACACUAAGGCACAGAGGUGCUGAGCUCAUUCUGAAGUUACAUGUUGCUCUGAGAGUCCCAGGUAAAAACUCCAUGUUGUUUUUCAGUGUCUUCUGUCCACAUGUGUAUUUGCAUGCAUAAAGUACACUAGUCUUAAGCAUUGAGUCUCAUACAUAAACACUCAAAUAGGCAAAGCUUCUCCAUCCUCCUCACACAUACCAAAGUGGCCCCAUGGCCCCUCAGUUGGUUCCUACCCAAGGGCAACUGCCAACCUGACUUCUGAACCGUUGGCAGGCUAUGCAUUAGACUUUAUAGAGAUGAAAGGCUGUGCCUACUAUGCCUCUUUCACACCCAGUGUGGUAUCUCAGAGUUUCACUCAUGCUGUCUGUGGAGCUGUGUGCUUCCUCACUGACUCAAUGUUUCCCAUUGUCUGAGUCCCAUUGUAGUAUUCCACAGUGUGACUACAUCCUUUGCAGCCAUUCUGUUGGACCAGGCUUUAGGUUUUUUCCAAUUUGGAGCAAUUAUAAAUAGCCCUGCUAUGGACAUUUAUGUGCAUUCCUAAUUCAUGAUUGGCAUGCCCCACCCACUUCCUUGGUGACCUGUCUGCCAAGGUGCAGUUGACAGGUAUUUAUGAAUGCCACUUUCAGAACCCUUGGAUGAGGUAGACAAACUGGUCAGUGCUUCCAAAGUGACUUGAAAUUUAAAAUAAGAGAUCACAUACUUGGGGGUUGGAGGAGGGUGCAGUGCCAGUGGACGAGUGCAUGCUUGUUAUGCUUAAGGCCCUGAGCUUGACCCCUAGCCCACCAAAAAAGGAGAGAGAAAAAGAGAUGAUUUACCUUGAAAAGCUGCCUAAAUGCUUGUUCCUUAAGCAAGCCAUUAGAUAUUUAUGGACAUCCUCAUCUGUAAAAUAUGCAUAGCAUAGUAUUAAUGUUAUGCACAAGUAAGGAGCUGUUGCAAGGGAUUGGGGUAUAAUUGGGUUGGAUAGGAGGUAAAGUAUUUGGAUAGGGCUUAGCUCAUCUAAGCACUCAAUUGCUGUUAUUGAUUUUUUUUUUUUUUUGGUAAUGAUCAUACAGAGUAAGGUCAAAGAAGCUAUGAUAUCACAUAAGUUCAUUGACAGAACCAAUGCAAAUGAAGUGACCUGUUUAACGUCUCAUGUGAAGCCAGUGUGUUGCUUUGCUUUUGUGCUUCUAUUUUUGGUCUUUAAUUUUGUGGCUGCUCUGUCUUUAAACAAAGACAGAGUGUGGAAGUGGAGGAACAAAGGAAGACCUGGGCUGGGGAAAUCUGAUUGCUGUGGGAUCAGCAUUAACCUCAAGACUCAGUACUGACCAUGCAGGUACAGUCAGGCUGUUCUGUGAUAUGCAUACCUGGCUUGGAUUAUUCCCCAUCCCACCCCAUCCCACCCCAGACUUCUAAUAAUAGAUAGGAAUUUGAAUUCAGUAUGAUCUGACCCAAUAUCAAGAACUUCAGAGGCCAGAGAAAUAACCCAACUCUUUCCAAUCUUAGAAGUGGGUGGAUCUGCACACUUGCAGAACGGAACCACAUUGUGUCCUAUAUCAGACAGUUACUAUGAUACUGAGUCGGAUGGGAUGGUGAGAAUUGUAGCACAUGAGAUGAAAAAGUUGGCUCUGAAGAAGCAGAGAAUUCAUCACUGUGGAAAUUGUCUUCAGCCUAGAGACACAGAUUUGUGUUUCAGUUCUUCUACGUAUCAACAGUGGAAGCUAUUCCAUUGGGUGACCAUGCAAAGGAGGGAAAAUUAACUCCACCCACACCUAAAGGUUUCCUUAACUCCAUAGAAAUGUAAACAUUUAAACGUUUCAUUUUGAAAUAGUAUCAGACUUAAAAGAAAAUUGCACAAAUAAUACAAAGAAGUGACCUGCCUCCACCCAAAGUCCCCAGUGUUAGCCCUUUGCCACUGUCGCUUUGUUCUUUCUGUUCAUACACACAUUGCACAUGUGCACAUAUGCACCUUCUUUGUUUCUGGACCAUUAGAGACUUCAUCACAGGCAUUAUGCCCCCUUUACCACACUGUUUUGUUGUUUCCUAAAAACAAAGCUAUCAAUUGCAAAGUUCAAUAUAGUUAUCAAACUUUGGGGGGGGGGGAACAUAUUAAAGCUGUGUUUACACAGUUACUGAAGGGCUCUUGCAGACCCGACUAGCAUAGCAAACACAGUGCUAGCAGGUCUUGCCCUUCCCACUUCCCUCUCCCUUGUAAACCAUAGACUACAUCAUUAAGUCAGCCACCAAGGUCCAUUCCCUUAUUUGGACACUUUCUUAUUCCAGACUCCUAAGGCUGAUCACCAAGGUCCAGCUAUCAAAGUCUUCAUGUCCAGCAAUCAAAAGCCUCCUUUGGUUAACCUAAUUAACAUGCCAAUUAAAGCAAACCACCACACCCUAGCCCAUCCUAAUACAGACCUCCUCUUUUUCCCUCUUUAAAAAAAAAAAAA